RNAcentral lists this ribosomal RNA (492 nucleotides) under uncultured bacterium. RNAcentral describes it as "partial 16S ribosomal RNA". It matches the Rfam family "Bacterial small subunit ribosomal RNA", at positions 29 to 507 of the family's 1533-position model. The record is from RNAcentral.
AGUGAACGCUGGCGGUAGGCCUAACACAUGCCAGUCGAACGGCAGCACAGUAAGAGCUUGCUCUUACGGGUGGCGAGUGGCGGACGGGUGAGGAAUACAUCGGAAUCUACUUUUUCGUGGGGGAUAACGUAGGGAAACUUACGCUAAUACCGCAUACGACCUACGGGUGAAAGCAGGGGAUCUUCGGACCUUGCGCGAUUGAAUGAGCCGAUGUCGGAUUAGCUAGUUGGCGGGGUAAAGGCCCACCAAGGCGACGAUCCGUAGCUGGUCUGAGAGGAUGAUCAGCCAGACUGGAACUGAGACACGGUCCAGACUCCUACGGGAGGCAGCAGUGGGGAAUAUUGGACAAUGGGCGAAAGCCUGAUCCAGCCAUACCGCGUGGGUGAAGAAGGCCUUCGGGUUGUAAAGCCCUUUUGUUGGGAAAGAAAAGCAGCAGGUUAAUACCCCGCUGUUCUGACGGUACCCAAAGAAUAAGCACCGGCUAACUUCGUG